ACACUCCUACGGGAGGCAGCAGUGGGGAAUUUUGGACAAUGGGCGAAAGCCUGAUCCAGCCAUGCCGCGUGCAGGAUGAAGGCCUUCGGGUUGUAAACUGCUUUUGUACGGAACGAAACGGCCUUUUCUAAUAAAGAGGGCUAAUGACGGUACCGUAAGAAUAAGCACCGGCUAACUACGUGCCAGCAGCCGCGGUAAUACGUAGGGUGCAAGCGUUAAUCGGAAUUACUGGGCGUAAAGCGUGCGCAGGCGGUUAUGUAAGACAGUUGUGAAAUCCCCGGGCUCAACCUGGGAACUGCAUCUGUGACUGCAUAGCUGGAGUACGGUAGAAGGGAAUGGAAUUCCGCGUGUAGCAGUGAAAUGCGUAGAUAUGCGGAGGAACACCGAUGGCGAAGGCAAUCCCCUGGACCUGUACUGACGCUCAUACACGAAAGCGUGGGGAGCAAACAGGAUUAGAAACCCUAGUAGUCCCAUGAU
Molecule: ribosomal RNA, 477 nt
Filed under: uncultured organism
Description: partial 16S ribosomal RNA
Rfam family: Bacterial small subunit ribosomal RNA
Source: RNAcentral